Molecule: ribosomal RNA, 484 nt
Filed under: uncultured bacterium
Lineage: Bacteria
Description: partial 16S ribosomal RNA
Rfam family: Bacterial small subunit ribosomal RNA
Source: RNAcentral
AUUGAACGAGGGCGGCAGGCCUAACACAUGCGAGUCGAGCGGAUGAAGGGAGCUUGCUCCUGGAUUCAGCGGCGGACGGGUGAGUAAUGCCUAGGAAUCUGCCUGGUAGUGGGGGAUAACGUCCGGAAACGGGCGCUAAUACCGCAUACGUCCUGAGGGAGAAAGUGGGGGAUCUUCGGACCUCACGCUAUCAGAUGAGCCUAGGUCGGAUUAGCUAGUUGGUGGGGUAAAGGCCUACCAAGGCGACGAUCCGUAACUGGUCUGAGAGGAUGAUCAGUCACACUGGAACUGAGACACGGUCCAGACUCCUACGGGAGGCAGCAGUGGGGAAUAUUGGACAAUGGGCGAAAGCCUGAUCCAGCCAUGCCGCGUGUGUGAAGAAGGUCUUCGGAUUGUAAAGCACUUUAAGUUGGGAGGAAGGGCAGUAAGUUAAUACCUUGCUGUUUUGACGUUACCAACAGAAUAAGCACCGGCUAACUUCGUG